Non-coding RNA from Paramormyrops kingsleyae, 273 nucleotides. The record is from RefSeq and is a predicted model, not a curated record. Lineage: Eukaryota; Metazoa; Chordata; Actinopteri; Osteoglossiformes; Mormyridae.
CCUGGAUGUUCACAUAAUAUCAUCUUACAUUUCAUAUGUGCCUGCUCAUUUUUACAAUUGCGGUCUGCAUGCAGUAAAGUUCAUCCUGAAGCAACCAACCUCACCAUGGAUAAUUCAAUUGCAGUGACACUAAAGCACUGUCCACGCCAUGGAUCUCGGAAGGAUGAUGCUGCAGUGAGACAUUGGAGCAGGGACCUGAAACGGAUGAAUUUGCUUGUUAAUGUUGACUUUAAUAUUUAAUAACAACAUUAUAAUGUUAUUAAAGUUUUUGAU